This 874-nucleotide long non-coding RNA is filed under the name Mytilus galloprovincialis (Mediterranean mussel). Lineage: Eukaryota; Metazoa; Mollusca; Bivalvia; Mytilida; Mytilidae. The record is from RNAcentral.
GUAGCCUUUGUCCGUGGUAUUUUUCCAUUAGACACGCAUAAUAAAUAAAAGAAAGAAAACAAAUAGACAUUUUAGAGCUGCCAGCUUGCUUUACAUUAAAAGGUCAUGGUUUGUGUUUGUGUGCGGUUUUGUAAAGGGUUAUAUUUUAGAGCUGCCAGCUUGAUUUACAUUAAAAGGUCAUGGUUUGUGUUUGUGUGCGGUUUUGUAAAGGGUUUUGUGUGUGCUGUGUUAGUGUUGUCAAAUGUUGUACGAUUCGUACUCUAUUUUUCUUGAUAUGCCAUUUACAAUCAAAGCCAUAAUAAAAACAAAAUAAUUGCAAUAAAAAAUGAUUCUUCUUGACGAAGGAAUAUUAUAUCAAACAAGCCAAACAAAAUAUAUAAAACAUGUCGAGAAUAAAAUACCAAACAAAAUACAACACAAAAAGAAGGCUAAUCAACAUGUCAUUUUCAUACACAAAUUCAUUUCAUACACAAAUUAAUUUCAUACACAAAUUCAUUUCAUCCUCCUGCUCAUAAGUCACUGAAAUCGUUAAAAACUGAAUUCAACAGUAUGAUCUGGUUAAAAUGAAAAGAAAAACGACAGCAACCAAAAACCAAAAAACAAACCUAAAUAAAUGUUCAGUUUUCUCAUUAGAGAUUAAACAAAUGGUGUACAUAUUUAUUAUUUUGCUCGUAGACGCACAUAGUUUUCUACAAAUUAUUUAUUACUUCUUAGCUUCAAUCAUACAGAAAACUAUGCCUUUUCGUGCAUUUAUAGAGUAGACAUUUUGUGUCAUUUAAGAGUUACAAAGCUAAGUAUAGAAGAUUAUAAAUAUACAACUGGUUAAAGGGGUUAAAAUCUGGACGUUUUGUAAUAUUAUGAAUACACAUAUGAC